UCGUGCCUCGGGGCGCAGCAGUGGGGAAUAUUGGGCAAUGGGCGAAAGCCUGACCCAGCAACGCCGCGUGAAGGAAGAAGGCUUUCGGGUUGUAAACUUCUUUUGACAGGGAAGAGCAGAAGACGGUACCUGUCGAAUAAGCCACGGCUAACUACGUGCCAGCAGCCGCGGUAAUACGUAGGUGGCAAGCGUUGUCCGGAUUUACUGGGUGUAAAGGGCGUGUAGCCGGGCUGACAAGUCAGAUGUGAAAUCCGGGGGCUCAACCCCCGAACUGCAUUUGAAACUGUUGGUCUUGAGUAUCGGGG
This 305-nucleotide ribosomal RNA is filed under the name uncultured bacterium. Its description in RNAcentral is "bacterial SSU rRNA". It matches the Rfam family "Bacterial small subunit ribosomal RNA", at positions 332 to 654 of the family's 1533-position model. The record is from RNAcentral.